RNAcentral lists this transfer RNA (69 nucleotides) under Cynops ensicauda (sword-tailed newt). RNAcentral describes it as "tRNA-Gly". The record is from RNAcentral. Lineage: Eukaryota; Metazoa; Chordata; Amphibia; Caudata; Salamandridae.
GUCUUUUUAGUACAACCAGUACAAGUGACUUCCAAUCACUUAAUCUUAGUCAAAGCCUAGGAAAAGACA